Molecule: ribosomal RNA, 465 nt
Filed under: Vreelandella stevensii
Lineage: Bacteria; Pseudomonadati; Pseudomonadota; Gammaproteobacteria; Oceanospirillales; Halomonadaceae
Description: partial 16S ribosomal RNA
Rfam family: Bacterial small subunit ribosomal RNA
Source: RNAcentral
CCAACGGGUGGCAGCAGUGGGGAAUAUUGGACAAUGGGGGCAACCCUGAUCCAGCCAUGCCGCGUGUGUGAAGAAGGCCCUCGGGUUGUAAAGCACUUUCAGUGAGGAAGAACGCCUGGUGGUUAAUACCCAUCAGGAAAGACAUCACUCACAGAAGAAGCACCGGCUAACUCCGUGCCAGCAGCCGCGGUAAUACGGAGGGUGCGAGCGUUAAUCGGAAUUACUGGGCGUAAAGCGCGCGUAGGUGGCUUGAUAAGCCGGUUGUGAAAGCCCCGGGCUCAACCUGGGAACGGCAUCCGGAACUGUCAAGCUAGAGUGCAGGAGAGGAAGGUAGAAUUCCCGGUGUAGCGGUGAAAUGCGUAGAGAUCGGGAGGAAUACCAGUGGCGAAGGCGGCCUUCUGGACUGACACUGACACUGAGGUGCGAAAGCGUGGGUAGCAAACAGGAUUAGAUACCCUAGUAGUC